Molecule: non-coding RNA, 29 nt
Filed under: Mus musculus (house mouse)
Lineage: Eukaryota; Metazoa; Chordata; Mammalia; Rodentia; Muridae
Source: RNAcentral
UAGCAGUGGACUCUGUCUGAUAUCAAGGA